GCUGCGUACAUGUUGUUGUUGCUGCCUCAGCCGACAGUACUUGUGUUGUUUGUCGUGUUCGUGUUCGUGUUCGUGUUACAGAGGUCACCCGCGGGUUUCCUUCCUGACGCCUCCAUCGUGGCAGUGCAGACAUUAUUUCACUCAGUGAUGGCCUGACUCGGCACGUGGGGGUAAACGCUGAGUUUGCCUUCGCCCAAGCAGAGCAGAAAUGUCUCCGCUACGCUCCAGAUCACAUGCAGGAUGCCCAAGAUCAGCCCAAUCCCGGAGUGAACUAAAGUGACCUGUAACAAACCUUAACCUUAAAAGGUUUAUUUGUAA
Molecule: long non-coding RNA, 318 nt
Organism: Oreochromis niloticus (Nile tilapia)
Lineage: Eukaryota; Metazoa; Chordata; Actinopteri; Cichliformes; Cichlidae
Exons: 2
Source: RefSeq, a predicted model, not a curated record